This 253-nucleotide ribosomal RNA is filed under the name uncultured bacterium. RNAcentral's name for it is "partial 16S ribosomal RNA". It matches the Rfam family "Bacterial small subunit ribosomal RNA", at positions 524 to 776 of the family's 1533-position model. The record is from RNAcentral.
UACGUAGGGGGCAAGCGUUGUCCGGAAUCAUUGGGCGUAAAGCGCGCGUAGGCGGCCCUGUAAGUCCGUUGUGAAAGUCAAAGGCUCAACCUUUGAAAGCCGAUGGAUACUGCAGGGCUAGAGUCCGGAAGAGGCGGGUGGAAUUCCUGGUGUAGCGGUGGAAUGCGCAGAUAUCAGGAGGAACACCGGUGGCGAAGGCGGGUCUCUGGGCAACAACUGACGCUGAGGAGCGAAAGCGUGGGGAGCGAACAGG